Daphnia pulicaria is the source of this 890-nucleotide long non-coding RNA. RefSeq lists it as uncharacterized. The record is from RefSeq and is a predicted model, not a curated record. NCBI's taxonomy places the organism in Eukaryota, Metazoa, Arthropoda, Branchiopoda, Diplostraca, Daphniidae. The transcript is spliced from 3 exons.
UCAGUAGGCGCCGAAGUUAACGUUACGUCUGAUACAAUUUUGCCACUUUAGGAUUUUUACAACCGUAGGAUAUUUUUGCAUCUUUCUCCCCUUCCCAGAUAUUGCCCAUAGAAACCAUCUUACAUUACAUUAACCCAUUUUACAUUAUCUCUAUGUUACGUUCUAACUGUACCCUUGGUCACAAAAAAAAAAAAGAAGUAGUAAUGCCAAAUUCUUUUUCACGAUCCCCACAAAUUUUGGCAUGUAGAAGUAAACAAAAAAAAAAAGACAAAUUUAAAGACAGCCCUAGUGGCACUUUUCCUCCCUUGGACGUCCAUGGCACGUCUGUACAUCCCAGCCAUAUCUACAUCCAAAUUGAAAAUUUCUGAUGGAGACAAGACAGCCAUAGGAUGUCUAGCAAUGAUAGCCUAAAGAUGUCCUUUUUUUUGUCCUUGUUACCUCCAGGAGACAUCCGUUAGGUCAUCAUUUUUAUUAUAAUUUUUUAAUUAUUAUUUUAUUUUAUUUUAUUUUUUUUAUUUUUUUUAUUUUUAUUUUUUUUCCCUCAUCACCGAACAUCAUUAUCAACGCCCAGCGUGUCACAGCGAGUCUCGUUAACACACAGAGUCUAUGGUCUAGUGGUUAGAGUACUCGACUGGUAAUCUUAAGGACGAUGGUUCAAUCCCAGAGUCAGUCAGAAGUAUUUCAUCAAAAAUAAAAUAAGAUACGUAUGAUGAAAGACUAUGGUGAUGAUGACAUCCUAUGGAUGACCACAGGAUGUACUUUAGAUCAGCCACAGAUAACCUCGAGACUUGGCAUGGAACGGUAAUUAAGAUGUCCAAAACACAUCCAAAGUACAUCAUUUGGGCUCAAACUAAGACCAUGGGUGGAUAUCCACAGGCCAUCGUGUGCCA